ACACGGGGACUGAUUUACCACAACCUUUUGAAGACCCAUCUCCCUCACCCCCUUCAGUUUGAAGAAAUCUCCGUGAAAGUGUUGCAUUUAAAAGUAGUCAUCUGUCAAUCAUCACGUAGAUCAAUUAUGGCAUCGAGUCAAUCAUCAUCAUGUGUAGUUAAUGAUCUUGAAAUGGAAUCACCGAGUUGUUGGUGUGUUUUGAAAGCGCCAUUAAAGAUCUCCCACACUCACAAAAAUCCUGGAAUGAAAUUUUAUGCUUGUCCGAGUUAUGGAACGGGAGAAACAAGAUGUCAAUUCUUCAUUUGGGCAGAUAUACUUCAAUCAGUAUUAUCUGAGAAAAACCUGACAAGAGAGAAUGAAAUUCGGAAGAGGGAGGAUGCUUUGUUGUUGCGUGAGUAUGAAGCUAAAAAAAAAGAGGACAAACUAAUAGAGAGAGAGAAAAUGCUUCAGAAGCAAGAUGACGACCUUCAUAGAAGGAUAGUAGAGAAUAGGGUUGUACGUAUAUUGUUGUGUCUAUAUUGGAUUGUAUCUCUUGUAAUUGUUUUUGGUUGGUUCUGAAUGUAGAUGUAUCAUAUUAGUUUUAAAUGAAAACAGAUUGAUGGAAUCCUAACAUGUAUGAUAUAUUAUCUAUGAAUAUAAUUAUGACAGCUUAUAUGUAUAUGAAGUUC
Long non-coding RNA from Juglans microcarpa x Juglans regia, 668 nucleotides. RefSeq lists it as uncharacterized. The record is from RefSeq and is a predicted model, not a curated record. The transcript has 3 exons. NCBI's taxonomy places the organism in Eukaryota, Viridiplantae, Streptophyta, Magnoliopsida, Fagales, Juglandaceae.